CUAGAACGCCCAUAAGACCAAGACUAGAAAAGUAGUGAUAGAGAAGCAAAAGCAUCUACAGGAGGAGCUGGAUGCUCAGAAGAACAUUAUGGAGAAAGAACUAACAGCUGUGAAGUUACAGUUUGAUGAAGAACUGAAAGCCAAGCGGGAAAACUACCAGAAACAACUGGAAGCCCACAAGAGAGAGUGCCAAAAAGAAGUGAAAGAGAAGCAAGAACAUCUACAAGAGGAGCUGGAAGCUCAGCAGAAAACCAUGGAGAAAGAACGGGCAGCAUUGAAGGCAAAGUUUGACAAAGAACUGAAAGCCAAACAGAAAAAAUACCAGAAACAACUGGAUGCCCACAAGACAGAGUACAGACAAGAAAU
Long non-coding RNA from Thalassophryne amazonica, 366 nucleotides. RefSeq lists it as uncharacterized. NCBI's taxonomy places the organism in Eukaryota, Metazoa, Chordata, Actinopteri, Batrachoidiformes, Batrachoididae. The record is from RefSeq and is a predicted model, not a curated record. The transcript has 3 exons.